This 621-nucleotide ribosomal RNA is filed under the name Lysinibacillus sp. HT14-MRL. RNAcentral's name for it is "bacterial SSU rRNA". It matches the Rfam family "Bacterial small subunit ribosomal RNA", at positions 235 to 848 of the family's 1533-position model. The record is from RNAcentral. Lineage: Bacteria; Bacillati; Bacillota; Bacilli; Caryophanales; Bacillaceae. RNAcentral also lists the same sequence under 1 other name.
GGCUCAUUAGCUAGUUGGUGGGGUAAAGGCCCACCAAGGCGACGAUCGGUAGCCGGUCUGAGAGGGUGAUCGGCCACACUGGGACUGAGACACGGCCCAGACUCCUACGGGAGGCAGCAGUGGGGAAUUUUUCACAAUGGGCGAAAGCUUGAUCCAGCAACCCCGCGUGAGUGAAGAAGGCUUUCGGGUUGUAAAACUUUUUUGUCCGGGAAGAAAUCUUCCAGUAUAAAACGGCUGCACGAUGACGGUACCUUAAGAAAAAGCCCCGGCUAACUACGUGCCAGCAGCCGCGGUAAUACGUAGGGGGCCAGCGUUAUUCGGAAUUUUUGGGCGUAAAGCGCGCGCAGGCGGUUUUUAAGUCUGAUGUGAAAACCCACGGCUCAACCUGGGAGGGUCAUUGGAAACUGGGAGACUUGAGUGCAGAAGAGGAAAAUGGAAUUCCAAGUGUAGCGGUGAAAUGCGUAAAGAUUUGGAGGAACACCAGUGGCGAAGGCGACUCUCUGGUCUGAAACUGACGCUGAGGCGCGAAAGCGUGGGGAGCAAACAGGAUUAAAUACCCUGGUAGUCCACGCCGUAAACGAUGAUGGCUAAGUGUUGGGGGGUUUCCGCCCCUUAAUGCUG